Molecule: ribosomal RNA, 501 nt
Filed under: uncultured bacterium
Lineage: Bacteria
Description: bacterial SSU rRNA
Rfam family: Bacterial small subunit ribosomal RNA
Source: RNAcentral
AUUGAACGCUGGCGGAAUGCUUUACACAUGCAAGUCGAACGGUAGAGGGGGCAACCCCCUUGAGAGUGGCGAACGGGUGAGUAAUAUAUCGGAACGUGCCCAGUCGUGGGGAUAACGUAGCGAAAGUUACGCUAAUACCGCAUACGAUCUAAGGAUGAAAGCGGGGGAUCGCAAGACCUCGCGCGAUUGGAGCGGCCGAUAUCAGAUUAGGUAGUUGGUGGGGUAAAGGCUCACCAAGCCAACGAUCUGUAGCUGGUCUGAGAGGACGACCAGCCACACUGGAACUGAGACACGGUCCAGACUCCUACGGGAGGCAGCAGUGGGGAAUUUUGGACAAUGGACGCAAGUCUGAUCCAGCCAUUCCGCGUGCAGGAUGAAGGCCCUCGGGUUGUAAACUGCUUUUGUACGGAACGAAAGGUUUCUCUUAAUACUAGGAGCUCAUGACGGUACCGUAAGAAUAAGCACCGGCUAACUACGUGCCAGCAGCCGCGGUAAAGUGAC